CAGUGAACCAAAAAUAGCGAAAGAAAGGGCUUGUGGAGUACGGAAGGAGAAACAAGUUCGCGGAGAGAGGGCUGGGCUGUUGGACUUGCUGGCUGGGAGCUACAGAUAUUUAGUCUGCCUGAGAGCACCUGCUCAGCCUUGAGAAGUCAACUUGAACUUCACUUCCACCUUGAAGCAUUUUCCUCCAUCCCCAGCCUGCUUUUCCCUGUGCUCUGAGAUCCCUUCUGCAGGGAAUCACCUUCUCUCCAAAUCCCUCUCAGGCUUCAACGGAACUUGACCCAAGACAGGAGCUCUCUGCUGCAGGCAGGGGGCAUCUGAGCAGAAUGGUUUCCAGAUUUCAAAGAUGAAGGCACAAGACACCUGUAAAGAUGGGACUGGGAGCGAAGAGGCAAAAGAAGCAGGGCUUUCAUGUGGCACUAUUUAGCCCCCCCGCCCCGAAGGCUUUGAUUCCUACCCAGAUCUUCACAAGGCUCAGACCCGUGCCUCCCCAUCCCGCUUUGCCCUCACGUUAGUCUCCUGGUGGCUCUUUCCACUCCAGUCAAAGUGACUUCUUUCUGAGUGAGAAAACAGAAGGGUUUCCAGAAUGGGAUGGGCAAAAUGUUGCCUGGGUUCACAUUCUAGCUCUGUUACUUCAUGGUUGUGUGACUUUGAACAAGUGGCUUAAUCUGUGUUCUAGUUGUUUUGUUCUGUUUUGCUUUGCUUUUGGGGGGCUGCAUUUGCAGCA
This is a long non-coding RNA of Phacochoerus africanus (Common warthog), 724 nucleotides long. RefSeq lists it as uncharacterized. The transcript has 4 exons. Lineage: Eukaryota; Metazoa; Chordata; Mammalia; Artiodactyla; Suidae. The record is from RefSeq and is a predicted model, not a curated record.